RNAcentral lists this microRNA precursor (98 nucleotides) under Equus caballus (horse). RNAcentral describes it as "mir-9014 microRNA precursor family". It matches the Rfam family "mir-9014 microRNA precursor family". The record is from Rfam by way of RNAcentral. Lineage: Eukaryota; Metazoa; Chordata; Mammalia; Perissodactyla; Equidae.
GGAUCCAUAGGGAGGGAUACCAAUCCAGCCUUAGGAGGAAGGAGGAAAAGAAACCUGUCACGGGAGUCUUGGAGAUUGGCGACCGUCAUAAUGACUUA